AGAACCCUGUGAAAAUGAAGUCAUGCUGUCCAGACCAGCUCGGCAUCAAAAGUGAAAACAGAUGACUUAGCUAUUUCCUUUUCUUUUCAAAUUUGCUAGUAAGGUUUAGUGACCUAACUUCAGGGCUAAAUAUGUGAAGAUUAAGUCAGAAAACUCAAGGACAUAUUAAAAAUGAGCCAGUGGCACAUGUCUGCAAUCCCAACACUUGGGAGGCUGAAGCAGGAGGAUCACCGUGAGUUUGAGGCCAGCCUGAACUACACAGCAAGCCCUUGUCUCAAAAAAAAACCUCAAAUAGAUAGACAGACAGACAGACAGAUAGAUGGAUGACAUAUUCUGAACUCAGCUCAAAUAGAGCUUCUAUUAAAUCUUUCCAGCAAACUCUUUCUGGAGAUGUACUGAUGUAGCUGCGCAAGUCACUGCAAUAUGCUAAGACAAAGUCUUGCUGUGUAGUCCAGGCUGGUAUUGAGCUGAACCUUUUGGCUUGUCAAAUUAAUCAAAAGGAAGGACCACGCAUGCUGCAGGGG
Molecule: long non-coding RNA, 524 nt
Filed under: Heterocephalus glaber (naked mole-rat)
Lineage: Eukaryota; Metazoa; Chordata; Mammalia; Rodentia; Bathyergidae
Description: lncRNA (ENSHGLG00100047426.1)
Source: RNAcentral